RNAcentral lists this long non-coding RNA (406 nucleotides) under Trifolium pratense (red clover). Its description in RNAcentral is "long non-coding RNA (TPRA_LNC002947)". Lineage: Eukaryota; Viridiplantae; Streptophyta; Magnoliopsida; Fabales; Fabaceae. The record is from RNAcentral.
UUUGAAUGAUAUGCACAAAUUGAAUAAAAAAUAAAGCCAAAAAGCAUGACAGAAAAUACUUCAAAAAAAAAAAAUGCAAUAAAAUAACAUAAAAAUUUGGAAAACUAUAGUGACAGUUAACUUAUUUAAUCCAUAAAAUAUUAAUAAAAUUCAUAUUGGCAUCAUAAUCGUGGCAAAAUGACAAAACAAGUAUGAACAAUGUUUGCUUCAAAAAACAAAAGUAUGAACAAUGUUAGUAUUAAAGUUACUGUAAAAAAAUGUUAGUAUUAAAGUGAUAGAGCACUAUGUAUUAGAAAGUAAUGAAAUUUAUAAAGGAUAGAAAAUAUGUAGAGUAAUUGGCAAAUUCUCUAUUUCAACUUGUCGUGCGUUUAAGAUGACCGAAUUGUGUCGUACAUACUAGCAUUUU